This 200-nucleotide unclassified non-coding RNA is filed under the name Coprinellus sp. RNAcentral describes it as "partial internal transcribed spacer 2". The record is from RNAcentral. Lineage: Eukaryota; Fungi; Basidiomycota; Agaricomycetes; Agaricales; Psathyrellaceae.
UUAAGUUCAGCGGGUAGUCCUACCUGAUUUGAGGUCAAAUUGUCAAAAGUUGUCUUUGCAGACGGUUAGAAGCAAGUCUAAACCCAUUCCACGGCGUAGAUAAUUAUCACACCAAUAGACGGAGCUUAGUGAACUCGCUAAUGCAUUUCAGGGGAGCAGACCGCACAGAGGCAGCCUGCAAAAACCCCCACAUCCAAGCC